AGGAUAAUACCCUCGUGCUUGAUGGUACUGGAAGAAUAAGCACGGCUAACUACGUGCCAGCAGCCGCGGUAAUACGUAGGGUGCGAGCGUUAAUCGGAAUUACUGGGCGUAAAGCGUGCGCAGGCGGUCUUGUAAGACAGUCGUGAAAGCCCCGGGCUUAACCUGGGAACUGCGAUUGUGACUGCAAGGCUAGAGUGUGUCAGAGGGGGGUGGGAAUUCCACGUGUAGCAGUGAAAUGCGUAGAGAUGUGGAGGAACACCGAUGGCGAAGGCAGCCCCCUGGGAUAACACUGACGCUCAUGCACGAAAGCGUGGGGAGCAAACAGGAUUAGAUACCCCUGGUAGUCCACGCCCUAAAACGAUGUCAACUGGUUGUUGGAAGGGUAACCUUUUAGUAACGAAGCUAACGCGUGAAGUUGACCGCCUGGGGAGUACGGUCGCAAGAUUAAAACUCAAAAGGAAUUGACGG
Molecule: ribosomal RNA, 468 nt
Filed under: uncultured bacterium
Lineage: Bacteria
Description: bacterial SSU rRNA
Rfam family: Bacterial small subunit ribosomal RNA
Source: RNAcentral